Molecule: ribosomal RNA, 253 nt
Filed under: uncultured prokaryote
Description: partial 16S ribosomal RNA
Rfam family: Bacterial small subunit ribosomal RNA
Source: RNAcentral
UACAGAGGUCCCAAGCGUUGUUCGGAUUCACUGGGCGUAAAGGGUGCGUAGGUGGUCAGGUAAGUCUGAUGUGAAAUCUCCGGGCUCAACCCGGAAAUUGCAUUGGAAACUAUCUGACUGGAGGAGUGGAGGGGGGACUGGAAUACUUGGUGUAGCAGUGAAAUGCGUAGAUAUCAAGUGGAACACCAGUGGCGAAGGCGAGUCCCUGGACACUUCCUGACACUGAGGCACGAAAGCUAGGGGAGCAAACAGG